GAAAAACAGGCAAAAGUGGGCGAGACAGAGAGAGGCCACCAGUAGCCGGUUAAUUUGCGGCCAGGCGGCACCUGCUGCGGUGCUGCCUGCCUACGAUUGGCCGAAGGGCGAAGAAGGCUGAAGAUGCAGAGGCAGAACUGCAUGGAACGGUGCGGUUUGAUCGCAUUUGCCCACGAAUGUGUGAGAAUUUUGCCAGUCGCUAUCCGCAGUCCAUCAAUGUUAGACGAUCGGAGCUCGGUGAUAGAAGAUCGGCAAGGUCUAGAGUUCAACAGGCCGUCAGAAGCUACUACUCCAAAUCGAAGUGUACAUUUGGUUCCUACUAGGAUCGAAUUCCCCAAUUUUGCGUAUUAAUUUUACUUAUUUCGACGUCAUAGUAUGAAUUAAUGAACUCAAGUACUCACCUC
Long non-coding RNA from Sorghum bicolor (sorghum), 404 nucleotides. RefSeq lists it as uncharacterized. The record is from RefSeq and is a predicted model, not a curated record. NCBI's taxonomy places the organism in Eukaryota, Viridiplantae, Streptophyta, Magnoliopsida, Poales, Poaceae. The transcript has 2 exons.